Molecule: long non-coding RNA, 3100 nt
Filed under: Homo sapiens (human)
Lineage: Eukaryota; Metazoa; Chordata; Mammalia; Primates; Hominidae
Description: HSALNT0306418
Source: RNAcentral
GCCAUUUUGCCAGCCAGAAGCAUCACCCAGACAUAUUGCUAGCAUUUCCAGUGAGGUUUCAAAGAAUGACUUUAUAUUUCAAAUUUAGUUUGGGUUCAUGCAAGGCCGCUGAGGUGAAAUUUUCAGGUCUCUAAAGCCACUCACUUGGUCCUGCCUGAGAGGUAGAUAAUGGUCAGUGAGGGUCUACUUGGAAGGUGUGGGGGUUUUAAGUGCUUUUCAUGGUGACUUAAAUGAGCACUUGUCUUGCUUUCUUACUGUAAACUUUCCACCCCGAGUGCCAUUUAUGUACUACACAGAACAAAGAGCAAGCUUGCUGGAAAACUAAUUAAUUCAAUAAUUGGUGGCAAAGAAACUUGAAAGCUGGCCAGACCAGCAACCUGGUGUGAUUUGUAGCAACAGAAUAGAAAAAUACCUGAGGAAUGAGUUCCAUGUUUAUUUUUUGGGUACUAUAAUCAUUGACAAUAAGAGAAGGGGCCAUUGAGAACAAACAUUAUGAAUUCAAUUUUUCUCAUGUGUGGUGGGAGCUUUCUGUGUGGAGUGACCCCCGCAUAAGACAGAGCACUCGGAAGUGUGUUGCUAGUAGAGUAGGAAGUAAGCAGAGUGUUAUGGGAGAGAAAGACUGCAUCAAUCCGCAGAUAUUAGUGAAGAGGGUGUGAUUUCUUAAGCAAACGGUGCAGAGAGAGCGCAGAAACCAGAGUCUGCAGAUGGUGUGAUAGUUAAUUUUAUGGGUCAACUUUACUGGACCAUGGGGUGCCCUGAUAUUUGGUCAAACAUUAUUUCUGGGUGUAUCUGUUGGGGUGCUUUGGAUGAGAUCCACAUUUGAAUCCAUAGAUUGAGCAAAGCAGAUUUUCCUCCCUUAUAUGGGUGGGCCUCAUCCAAUCACAUGAAGGCCCGAAUAGAACAAAAAGGCUAAACCUCCCUUGAGUAAGGGGGGAUGCCUCCCACCUCACUGCCUGAGCUGGAACAUUGGUCUUUUCCCGCCUUCAGACUCAAACAUUGGUUCUUCUUGGUUCUUCAGCUUGCAAGCUUUCUGACUGGAACUUAUGCCAUUGGCUACCCUGGUUCUCUAGUUUGCUGAUUGCCAACUGCAAAUCUUGGGGCAUUUUAGCCUCUAUAAUCAUAUAAGUCAAUUCGUUUUAAAUCUCUCUCUCUCUUUUUCUAUAUGUAUACACAUAUAUAUUCUAUUUUAUACACACAUACAUAUGCAUAUAUAUAGUCUAUUGGUUCUGUUUCUCUGGAGAACUCUCAUUAAUACAGUUGAAAAUGGGGUUUUAGGACACAUCCAAGAUUUUGAAGGAUAAGAUUUUACCUGUGGGUGGUGGUUGUCAGUGGCAGGAAAAGAGGGCAAUGAAAAUCCAGUAUUAGGUGAGAGAGACAUACCAGGAAGAUGGGAAAAUGUAGACUUGUGGGCAGUGAAAGAUUCCAGCUGUGUGCUCCAUUCCACAGUCUGUAAGUGUAGAGAUUAUCACUACUGCAUUUUGCCAAUGGGAAAGGGAACUAAUUAAUUAGAGGAAAGGAGGAUCUUACAGUAUUGGGAAAUUUUAAAUUUCAAUGGAGAAGUUGUCAGAAUGUUUCAGAAUGAGUCAGAAGGAGCUAAAUAUUUAGGGGUGCAUGGUUUGUGAGCAUAUGAUUCAUAGGGGGAAUUUUACGUGCUAAAAAUAUCAUUGAUACCUAUUAGCUAAUAUCUCAAUUUUACAUUCUUUACAUGUUUUAACUCAUUUAAUUAUCACAAUCGUACAUGACCUCUGUCUUUUCAAUCAAGAUAUGAUAAACAACAAACAUUUUGGGCCCCCAAAUUAAAAAAAUAGUUCUCUUUAGGAGAUUUUUCAUAAUCUAUUAGGCUUGAACUCUCUUAAGAGUCUGCUUUUGGCCUCAGCCACUGCUUUGUAUACACACAACAUAUCAAUAAAUAAUAACCAUUAUGGUUGAACAUUAAAUUUGACAGUGUAGUAAGUUAUGAACAAAUCUCCUCAUUAGCAGCACUAUUAUUUUGGUGUUUGCAGCAAUCUAGUAUUCACAGCUAAGUUGAGACAAGAGCCAUUAUGUAUAUAAGACAUUUUUAGCUCAUUUACUCUGAACCUGCUUUGCAUACAAGAGCAGUGGGCCCUCAUGACAUGGUAUAAUGUCAGAAUAGGAUGCAAACUGAAGUGAAGAGGAAUAGGACCUCUUUGACAUGGGAGCGUAUUAGUAUGUACUUGGAUGCUCAUAACUUUAGAACCGAGUUAACAAUUGUUUCGGACUAGAUUCAGAUUUUAAUUUCCAUCUGAGUGACCCACAUAUUUUUUUGUUGUUGAAAUGGAAGGGCUACUGUUCUAAUACAUUUAUGUAUGUAUUCUUGCCUUUGCCAAUUAGUCAAGAGUUGGAUUUGUGGCACUGUAUUACUGUGCUUAAUUCCUUUAAAAAAUUCUUAUCAAUAUUUUACAAGCUCAGGUUGGGAAGUUAAUUCAUUUGAGAAGUGGUUUGUGCAUUUUAUUUAUUUAUUUAUUUAUUUAGCUUGUGUAGCAUCCAUUUCCCUUUUUGUUCUGGUAAUGACACCUUGAUUUUACUUUUGGGAACCGGCCCUCAGUAAAUGAGGUUUAGACGAGCCUUGCAUGCAGCACCUCCCUCCAACCCUGAUUCUGCUAUAUUAUAUUCCCUUGGCAUAUGGUUGGUUCAGGGAUGGGCAUAUAACCUAGUCUAAGACAAUGGUGCUCAAUUCUUGCACAUUUAUCAGAAUUAUGGGCAAGAGACUAUCCCUUUCUGCAGUAAUUGCUAGCUCUGGGUUGAGUUAAGCAUGAGCUAUAAGGUCACCAUAAAGAUGGGGUACAUCUGGGAAUGAAGUCAACCUAGAAAUUUGCAGAGCCAAGAGGUGGAGAGAAACCGAGUCCAGAUGGUACCAUUUGAACCCCUGGUUCAGGUUUCUCUGAACUUUUUAUUCUGUGAGCCAAUCAUUUUUCUCCCUCUCCUUAUUAUUAACUCCAUCCAUGUUGAAUUGAACAUUUUUUACUUGCAUCCAGAUGAUACCUUAAGUUUUAAAUUGCUUUGAUUUUUCUAUUGUAUUACUAUUUGUAUGAUAUUUUCAAGGGCUUGUUUCACUGAAGGACUCAAAGUUAUUUUUAAG